Paramuricea clavata is the source of this 225-nucleotide non-coding RNA. The record is from the annotation of a GenBank genome assembly. NCBI's taxonomy places the organism in Eukaryota, Metazoa, Cnidaria, Anthozoa, Malacalcyonacea, Plexauridae.
ACAACAUUUGUAUUAGUUUCAUUGAAGCAAAUCCCUUCAGCUCUUUCCAGCAAAGUAAAGACCAGGAAAGCCAACACAGGUUUCCAAAUUGUGCCGAUCAUUUUUGAAUGUUGAGAACUUACACUGUUUGUGCGUCACUGCGUUAGACAGAAUAAAUUCUAUGCAAUCACAAUAAAGAUCCCUAACAUGAUGCAAUAUAUUUUUGUAAUGUCAUCCGUUUCAGCG